AACGAACGCUGGCGGCAUGCCUAACACAUGCCAGUCGAACGAGACCUUCGGGUCUAGUGGCGCACGGGUGCGUAACGCGUGGGAACCUGCCCUUAGGUUCGGAAUAACUCCCCGAAAGGGGUGCUAAUACCGGAUAAUGUCUUCGGACCAAAGAUUUAUCGCCUUUGGAUGGGCCCGCGUUGGAUUAGCUAGUUGGUAGGGUAAAAGCCUACCAAGGCGACGAUCCAUAGCUGGUCGGAGAGGAGGAUCAGCCACACUGGGACUGAGACACGGCCCAGACUCCUACGGGAGGCAGCAGUGGGGAAUAUUGGACAAUGGGCGAAAGCCUGAUCCAGCAAUGCCGCGUGAGUGAUGAAGGCCUUAGGGUUGUAAAGCUCUUUUACCCGGGAUGAUAAUGACAGUACCGGGAGAAUAAGCACCGGCUAACUCCGUG
RNAcentral lists this ribosomal RNA (433 nucleotides) under uncultured bacterium. RNAcentral's name for it is "partial 16S ribosomal RNA". It matches the Rfam family "Bacterial small subunit ribosomal RNA", at positions 29 to 507 of the family's 1533-position model. The record is from RNAcentral.